GACGAACGCUGGCGGCGUGCUUAACACAUGCAAGUCGAACGAUGAAGCGGCCAGCUUGCUGGUGGUGGAUUAGUGGCGAACGGGUGAGUAACACGUGGGUAACCUGCCCAAAAGAAGGGGAUAACAUUUGGAAACAAGUGCUAAUACCGUAUAACCAUGAUGACCGCAUGGUCAUGAUGUAAAAGGUGGUUUUGCUAUCGCUUUUGGAUGGACCCGCGGCGUAUUAACUAGUUGGUAAGGUAACGGCUUACCAAGGUGAUGAUACGUAGCCGAACUGAGAGGUUGAUCGGCCACAAUGGGACUGAGACACGGCCCAUACUCCUACGGGAGGCAGCAGUAGGGAAUCUUCCACAAUGGGCGCAAGCCUGAUGGAGCAACGCCGCGUGAAUGAAGAAGGUCUUCGGAUCGUAAAGUUCUGUUAUUAGAGAAGAACACGUGUAAGAGUAACUGAUUAUGCGUUGACGGUAUCUAAUCAGCAAGUCACGGCUAACUACGUGCCAGCAGCCGCCGUAAAC
This 515-nucleotide ribosomal RNA is filed under the name uncultured bacterium. RNAcentral describes it as "bacterial SSU rRNA". It matches the Rfam family "Bacterial small subunit ribosomal RNA", at positions 28 to 525 of the family's 1533-position model. The record is from RNAcentral.